ACAUACGCAUGCACAGGCACGUGUGUACACACAUGCAGAUACACCCACAGCAUGCCAUCUGUGACACACACAGACGUAGGUACAUGGAGACACAUGCACACACAGGUCUGUGCACACACAUACGCAUGCACAGGCACCUAUGUACACACAUGCAGAUACACCCACAGCAUCCCAUCUGUGCCACACACAGACAUAGGUACAUGAAGACAGAUGCACACACAGGUCUAUGCACACACGUAUGCAUGCACAGGCACCUGUGUACACACAUGCAGAUGCACCCACAGUAUCCCAUCUGUGCCACACACAGACAUACGUACAUGGAGACAGAUGCACAUACAGGUCUAUGCACACAUGUACACAUGCACAGGCACCUGUGUACACACAUGCAGAUGCACCCGCAGUAUCCCAUCUGUGCCAUACACAGACAUACGUACAUGGAGACAGAUGCACAUACAGGUCUAUGCACACAUGUACACAUGCACAGGCACCUGUGCACACAUAUGCAGAUGCACCCGCAGUAUCCCAUCUGUGCCACACACAGACAUACGUACAUGGAGACAGAUGUACACACAGGUCUAUGCACACAUGUACACAUGCACAGGCACCUGUGUACACACAUGCAGAUGCACCCGCAGUAUCCCAUCUGUGCCACACACAGACAUACGUACAUGGAGACAGAUGCACACACAGGUCUAUGCACACAUGUACACAUGCACAGGCACCUGUGCACACAUAUGCAGAUGCACCCGCAGUAUCGCAUCUGUGCCACACAGACAUACGUACAUGGAGACAGAUGUACAUACAGGUCUAUGCACACAUGUACACAUGCACAGGCACCUGUGCACACAUACAUACAGAUGCACCCGCAACAUCCCGUCUGUGCUGCCCUAUUAGGUUUGUGGCCAUUUGGGGAAUCUUCCUAAAACCCUAAAAGCUAGGGCAGGUCUGCUUGAGCAGGAGCAGCAGGGUCUGGGGGACCCCUGAGGGCAGGACAGUCAGGGACCCACAGUUGAGCUGGGCCCGCUGAGCCCUGGAUCCUUCUUGGUGUCUUAUCCUGGCCAGCAAGCAAGUGUGAGCUCCUGUGGGUCUCCAGAGGCCCAUGAGGACCAGUGGGCCAGUUGGGAACAAGGCUUGGCGUCCUCUUCAGGGGGGAACACCAGGGCAGGCCUGAGGAGGCCUGUGUCCCCAGCCUGUCAUUGCUGUGGCUCCGCUUCUCAGGGAGCCUAGGAAGAAGGUGUGGCAAGAGCCCGAGGCGCUGGCUGCACCUGGCGGGGCCUGUGGGCGUCAGUUUAGACCCAUCCAUUCUCACUGCAGCAUUCCAGGGUUUGCCCUUAUGCUCGGCUGUGUGAGGGUGAGGAUGAUGCUGUGGGGGCAUGCAUGCUGGGUGUGUUUCAGCCUUCUCUUCCACCAGGCAUCCUGACAUCGAGGCCCAGGAGAGAGGAGUCCGGUGUCUACUUGAGAAACAGCUCCCCAAUGGCGACUGGCCGCAGGAAAACAUUGCUGGGGUCUUCAACAAGUCCUGUGCCAUCUCCUACACGAGCUACAGGAACAUCUUCCCCAUCUGGGCCCUCGGCCGCUUCUCCCAGCUGUACCCUGAGAGAGCCCUUGCUGGCCACCCCUGAGAACAUGCCUACCUGCUGGGUGCCGUCUGUGCGUUCCAGUGAGGCCAAGGGGUCCUGGCCGGGUUGGGGAGCCCUCCCAUAACCCUGUCUUGGGCUCCAACCCCUCAACCUCUAUCUCAUAGAUGUGAAUCUGGGGGCCAGGCUGGAGGCAGGGAUGGGGACAGGGUGGGUGGCUUAGACUCUUGAUUUUUACUGUAGGUUCAUUUCUGAAAGUAGCUUGUCGGGCUUGGGUGAGGAAGGGGGCACAGGAGCCGUGACCCCUGAGGAGGCACAGCGCCUUCUGCCACCUCUGGGCACGGCCUCAAGGUAGUGAGGCUAGGAGGUUUUUUCUGACCAAUAGCUGAGUUCUUGGGAGAGGAGCAGCUGUGCCUGUGUGAUUCCUUAGUGUCGAGUGGGCUCUGGGCUGGGGUCGGCCCUGGGCAGGCUUCUCCUGCACCUUUUGUCUGCUGGGCUGAGGGACACGAGGGCAACCCUGUGACAAUGGCAGGUAGUGUGCAUCCGUGAAUAGCCCAGUGCGGGGGUUGCUCAUGGAGCAUCCUGAGGCCGUGCAGCAGGGAGCCCCAUGCCCCUGGGUCGUGAGCUUGCCUGCGUAUGGGGUGGUGUCAUGGAGCCUCAUGCCCCUGGGUCGUGAGCUCGCCUGAGUAUGGGGUGGUGUCAUGGAGCCGCAUACCCCUGGGUUGUGAGCUCGCCUGCAUAUGCAGGGUCUGUCAUGGAACAUCCCAAGUCUGUGCAGCAGGGAGCCCCAUGCCCCUGGGACAUGAACCCACCUGCGUGGAAUGCUGUUUGUGAGGUGUCUACAGGGUUUAUAGUAGUCUUGUGGACACAGAAAUGCACAGGGGACACUUACGGACACAGAAAUGCACAGGGGAGGCCGAGCAUAACCAGGGGUGAGGGGCAGGCAGCAGUUGUAGUUACUGCCGCGGGGCACUGCUAUGUGCAGGGACAGCCAGCACCCAGCCCAUCACCACUCCCUGGGCUGGCUGGCAGGUAUGGCACCCUGGGAGCCCGGCAUAUACCCAGGGCACCCCUACGGCUGCCGCCAGUCUCAUGCCCAGGUGGGUGCUCUGGGCUGGAGCGAGGGCCAGGUUUUGGGCCGAGGCUUCCCCAGGCAAUCCUGUGAGCUCCCUUCUAGCCUCUGACCCAGUCUGGUCUGGCUUGCAUGGAUGUAGGGCUUGGGGUGGGAAGUUCAGGUCCUGGCUUUGCCUUUGCCUGAUGUGGAUGAGCAGCUCACAUGCUCAGGGCCACCUGAGACUGUCACUGCUCUCCCCUGGCUACUGGGAGGAGUCACUGAGAGCUUCGUUACCCCUGCUGCCUUGCCCAGGGCACACCCUAUACCUCCUUAUCUGCUCUUCCCCUCCCUGCCGCCUUCUGGGCAGGUAGCAGUCCCUGGCCUCUCCCCCUGGCUGAUCACUCUCCCUCAGGCAGUGGAGAUCUGCGUCUGGACACCCUCAGAUCCUGUCAUUGCCUGCCCAGAGUCCUUCAGGGGCACCCCUCUGCCUUGGUGUGCAGUCCAGGGCUCUCACCCAGGUGCCGCACCCUCUGGGGUCUUCUGUCCAGCUCCCUUGCCCCAUGUGCUGUCACUGACUCUCCUUGGGACUCGCCUGCCUGCUCAGAGCCCUGCAGGGCUUGGUCAGCUGCCUGUUCAGUGUCAACACUUCCCUGCACAUCUUAAAACUGGGCUUUAUUUUCGCUGAAGGAACUGUGUUGGGACCCUUGACAUCUGUCAGGUUUGCACAUGCUGUUUUUUUUUCUCAGCCCACGUGUUCUCCCCCACGUGGGGUAGCAGCAGGACAGACAGUGAAUCACAGAGUCUGCCCUGAGCAGAGGCUGCUGUCCCUGGGACUCCUAGCCAUGGUCAGACUGUACAAAACGGUUUUCCAGAAAUGAAAUGUAAAUCCAUUUUUAUACUGAAAAUGUUACUGAAAGUCACUUUUAUGAGCAUCUGCCUUAAUAAACAGACAUUGAUUCCCUUAUCAGAA
RNAcentral lists this long non-coding RNA (3601 nucleotides) under Homo sapiens (human). RNAcentral's name for it is "non-protein coding lnc-SPATC1L-2:2". Lineage: Eukaryota; Metazoa; Chordata; Mammalia; Primates; Hominidae. The record is from RNAcentral.